UCCCAGUUAGUACAACGGUUAGUAUACGGCACUUUCACUUCAAAAAAAUUCUAACCAGACUUCAUGGUGUGAGCUGCUGAGAUCGGGGUUCGAUUCCCCGGCCGGGAA
This 108-nucleotide transfer RNA is filed under the name Ustilago bromivora. It matches the Rfam family "tRNA". From Rfam's summary of the family: Transfer RNA (tRNA) molecules are approximately 80 nucleotides in length. Their secondary structure includes four short double-helical elements and three loops (D, anti-codon, and T loops). Lineage: Eukaryota; Fungi; Basidiomycota; Ustilaginomycetes; Ustilaginales; Ustilaginaceae. The record is from Rfam by way of RNAcentral.